CAGACAGGUGUAAGUUGAUGGAAAUAAUGACUUACAGUGGCAAAGAGUGUUAUGGAUAAUAGUACUGGUUUCUUUGGAAUAAGCACAAAGUCAAUGAAAGUGCAAGUUACAUUUUUAUCUUAUUUCUUUUUUGUUUUCCAUAAUAGGCUUGACUAAAUGGAAUUCACAGUAAUGUUUUCCUCAUGGGCAGUGACUAAAUGUUUAUACCAAUGAGGAAAAUGACUUUCUUUUGUUUUCAUUAUGUUCAUCAACAACAGAUUUCCAUCCUGUUAGAAUAUGCAGGCAUUAUGGAGGGGAACCAAGAAGACGUCAUGUCGCAAGGUGAAUGAACCACAAGGCAAAGGCAUCACGGGAAGAGGAUUUUGGCUGGCGGAGUGAGCGCAGGAAUGGCGUCGGACAGACAGUGUGACCCAGGGCUCAGGUGGCAGCUGUGCUACGACUUCUCUGCCAGGUCAUGGUGGAUGGUAGGGAUACUCCCUGUCUAUCUCUAUCGCUUUCUCCAUCACUCCCGCUUUCUUCUCUCUCCAUUGACCAUCUCUUCAUUAAGUUGAAAAAAAUGUAUUUAACUAAAAUGACAUUUGAGUGGAGGUUGUUGCUCAGGUAUAGGGCAUAGGAAAUGUUUUGUUACUGUGGGUAUCUACUUUUAAAAUGGCAAGUUGAUUGUCAGGAAUCAAUUGAUUGAAUGUUUGAAGUGAUUUCUGGUGAGAGGAUGU
This 713-nucleotide long non-coding RNA is filed under the name Salmo salar (Atlantic salmon). RNAcentral describes it as "lncRNA (ENSSSAG00000097285.1, ENSSSAG00000099750.1, ENSSSAG00020082122.1)". Lineage: Eukaryota; Metazoa; Chordata; Actinopteri; Salmoniformes; Salmonidae. The record is from RNAcentral.